RNAcentral lists this unclassified non-coding RNA (328 nucleotides) under soil metagenome. RNAcentral's name for it is "partial contains 5.8S ribosomal RNA, internal transcribed spacer 2, and large subunit ribosomal RNA". The stretch from base 1 to 120 matches the Rfam family "5.8S ribosomal RNA", at positions 35 to 154 of the family's 154-position model. The record is from RNAcentral.
GAUGAAGAACGUAGUGAAAUGCGAUAAGUAGUGUGAAUUGCAGAAUUCAGUGAAUCAUCGAAUCUUUGAACGCACAUUGCGCCCCUUGGUAUCCCGAGGGGCAUGCCUGUUCGAGCGUCAUUUCACCACUCAAGCCUGGCUUGGUGUUGGGCGACGUCCCCUUUGGGGACGCGCCUCGAAACGCUCGGCGGCGUGGCACCGGCUUUAAGCGUAGCAGAAUCUUUCGCUUUGGAAGUCGGGGCCCCGUCUGCCGGAAGACCUACUCGCAAGGUUGACCUCGGAUCAGGCAGGGAUACCCGCUGAACUUAAGCAUAUCAAUAAGCGGAGA